Schistocerca gregaria is the source of this 607-nucleotide long non-coding RNA. RefSeq lists it as uncharacterized. NCBI's taxonomy places the organism in Eukaryota, Metazoa, Arthropoda, Insecta, Orthoptera, Acrididae. The record is from RefSeq and is a predicted model, not a curated record. The transcript is spliced from 3 exons.
AAGGCUAAACCAUUUUGCAAAUAAAAGGAAAAGGAAUGAAUUACCAGGAAAGAAGUGCAAACACAAAUGAGGCUACAAGGCUAAAUCUACAAGUUACAUUUUCAGAUCAGAGGAGGGAAGACGAACCAAUUCUCUCACAAUUCCGAGAGUUCAUCUGCCAGGUACUGGAAGGGAUGAAGUCGCGGAGUCCACGCCCACCAGGAGCGUCAAAAUUUUAUGCAACUUUUGAGUAUCGUUCAGUAGUUUGUAGCGUUUAAAAAGGAACUGAGAAUUUGCCUUAUAGAAUGAAAGGUUACGAAAGAUUUUUAAUAACGGAUGAUUUUUAUUGUGUAUAUUAAGCUCCAUACACGCAACAGUUCCUCUUAAUUGUAUCGUGUCUGCAUUUGGACCACAUAGUGUAUAGUGUAAGUACCUGUGCACCUUUCCUGCAAUGCACAUCAAUGUUAUUGAUAAAUUUGGACAUUGUAAUACUAGUUUAUUAUUUUUAAUUUGGACACACCUCUAGUAAAAUGGUUUUCCAAAAAGUAGAGGUAUGUUUAGUAUUUGCAUUUCUUGUGUAAUUAGACAAACAUGAAAUAAUGUAGUUCUGAUUUGGAAAUAAAGCUGC